This 1212-nucleotide long non-coding RNA is filed under the name Homo sapiens (human). RNAcentral describes it as "HSALNT0379402". Lineage: Eukaryota; Metazoa; Chordata; Mammalia; Primates; Hominidae. The record is from RNAcentral.
CCACCGUGUUCAGGGACAACCCUGUGAUCAUGGUUUUGGUCACAUAGCUUCCAAGUGAGUGUUGUGCAAACAUUUGCUAGGAUCUCUCGGGGAGCCUGUUAGAAAAGAAACUCCUGAGCCUGCUCCAGAGCUUCUGUUCAGCAGGCCUGAGGUGGGACCAUACACCUGUCUUUUCAGCAAGCCCCCCCCCACCUCUGAGGAUGCACCCCAAAGCUAGAGAAUUCCUGCUCUGAGCCAUCUCUGAAAGCACCAAGAGCCAGCUCACGGAGGAGAUGCCAGCUCACGGAGGAAAAUCUGGAAGGUGUUGAAGCAUAGACGCUGGAACAUAAAAUGACUCAUGAUCUCACUGGGAGAAGGGCUGGGAACAUCGUGGGCUCUCUUCUCCCCGCGCUCCUCUCUCCGGGUCUCUGUUUCCCUCAUUCCACGAUGUUUAGAACCAUCGGCGCACUACAUCAGACUAGAGGUCUGGGGUCACCCGACCAUCCCGCCACAAGCCCCUCCGAGGCAUCACUGUGUCCAGAUUUUGCAAACUGCACCUCCUGAAGGGGCUGGGGUCUGUCCACUUCGCCCCAUCUGCCGUGGCAGCACUUCCUCCGUGGUUCGCACCCCCACAGCAGCCUCCUGGGAAGGCACCUCCCUGGGGCCCCUCUCAGUCCACGGUGUGGAUAUGGCAGCAAGCUAUGCAUUUUGCAUAUAUUAGCAAAUCCAUGAGGCAGGUGCUGUCUUCAUUGUACAGGUCAGGAAGAUUCCUGCAGCUGCUGAGUUAGUACUUUUAAGAAAGUACUGGAUUCCCUCUCACAAUGGGACUUUGAUUUUUUUAAGAAAAAGGUUUCAUAAGUUUUCAAAUAACCUGGAGCAGUUGAGCAAACUUAAUGUGCAGCGUGGUCCCUGCUGGCUGGGUUUGAGGGGCUGGGUCUCUCUGAGUGGAUGCUGGUGAGGUGCAGAGGAAGAAGAAAAGGUGCCUGAGGGCCUGUGUGGAAGGCCUGUCACACAGCACAUCCUGGGAAAUCUGUCCAGGAAGCAGCCAGGCGGGCAUCAGCCAGGCGGGCAUCAGCAUCUUCACUGUGCAGAUGAGAAACUGAGGCCGCAGAGGUGAAGGGACAUGCCCAGGAUCACUAAGGCAAGACGGGGGAAGAGCAGAGAUCUUGGGCAUGAUCUCGGCUCACUGCAACCUCCACCUCCCAGGUUCAAGGGAUUCUCCUGCUUCAGCCU